RNAcentral lists this long non-coding RNA (444 nucleotides) under Phoenix dactylifera (date palm). RNAcentral's name for it is "long non-coding RNA (PDAC_LNC022697)". The record is from RNAcentral. Lineage: Eukaryota; Viridiplantae; Streptophyta; Magnoliopsida; Arecales; Arecaceae.
GGAGAGUUGCGGGUCCGUAGAUAACAGGAGCCACGCGCAUUAAUGGUGGAGUAAGCCGGAGAUCCGCAUUAAUUGUUGAGUGAACUGGGGGUUUGCACGGGUCAUGCGCAAUAAAUGCCGGGGCAGUGGCAGGACAUGGCCCUCGGCCGGACCUCGGAGGGGUACGGCCGUAGUAGGUGGUUGACAAGAGUAGACCUCGGGUGUCGGGAGUUUUCCGGGUCGGAGGUUCUGAGGUCGGAUGUUCCGAGGUCGGACGCCGACUUCGGCUGUCCAAGGUCGGCGGUUGUGCGACUCCUUAGGGGUAAUUGUGUCACUGGGGGAAAAAACCAUAUUCCCCCAACACGUACUAUCCUCUUUUCUUGAUUUUGGCCAUACUUUUUCCUCCUCCUCCUUUGCCUAAUGUUUCCUUCAUCUCUGUAGCAUACUGUUUCGAGGCAUAUACUG